This 655-nucleotide ribosomal RNA is filed under the name uncultured cyanobacterium. Its description in RNAcentral is "bacterial SSU rRNA". It matches the Rfam family "Bacterial small subunit ribosomal RNA", at positions 119 to 804 of the family's 1533-position model. Lineage: Bacteria; Bacillati; Cyanobacteriota. The record is from RNAcentral.
GAGAAUCUGCCUAGAGGUCGGGGACAACCAUUGGAAACGAUGGCUAAUACCGGAUAUGCCUUACGGGGUGAAAGAUUAAUUGCCUUUAGAAGAGCUCGCGUCUGAUUAGCUAGUUGGUGAGGUAAGAGCUCACCAAGGCAGCGAUCAGUAGCUGGUCUGAGAGGAUGACCAGCCACACUGGGACUGAGACACGGCCCAGACUCCUACGGGAGGCAGCAGUGGGGAAUUUUCCGCAAUGGGCGAAAGCCUGACGGAGCAAGACCGCGUGAGGGAGGAAGGCUCUUGGGUUGUAAACCUCUUUCGUCAGGGAAGAACAAAAUGACGGUACCUGACGAAUCAGCAUCGGCUAACUCCGUGCCAGCAGCCGCGGUAAUACGGAGGAUGCAAGCGUUAUCCGGAAUUAUUGGGCGUAAAGCGUCCGCAGGUGGCUGAUCAAGUCUGCGGUCAAAGACCGGGGCUUAACCCUGGAAAGGCCGUGGAAACUGAUAAAGCUAGAGUACCGUAGGGGUAGAGGGAAUUCCCGGUGUAGCGGUGAAAUGCGUAGAGAUCGGGAAGAACAUCGGUGGCGAAAGCGCUCUACUGGACGGUGACUGACACUCAGGGACGAAAGCUAGGGGAGCGAAUGGGAUUAGAUACCCCAGUAGUCCUAGCCGUA